Molecule: ribosomal RNA, 663 nt
Filed under: uncultured bacterium
Lineage: Bacteria
Description: bacterial SSU rRNA
Rfam family: Bacterial small subunit ribosomal RNA
Source: RNAcentral
AGAGUUUGAUCAUGGCUCAGGAUGAACGCUAGCGGCAGGCCUAACACAUGCAAGUCGAGGGGUAGCAGGAUUAAGCUUGCUUAAUUGCUGACGACCGGCGCACGGGUGCGUAACGCGUAUGCAACCUACCUUAUACUGGGGUAUAGCCCGGAGAAAUUCGGAUUAAUCCCCCAUAGUACUAUUUAACCGCAUGGUUGAAUAGUUAAAGUAUUGCGGUAUAAGAUGGGCAUGCGUCCUAUUAGCUAGAUGGUGAGGUAACGGCUCACCAUGGCUACGAUAGGUAGGGGGCCUGAGAGGGUGGUCCCCCACACUGGUACUGAGACACGGACCAGACUCCUACGGGAGGCAGCAGUGAGGAAANAUUGUUCAAUGGGCGCAAGCCUGACCAGCCCAUGCCGCGUGCAGGAAGAAUGCCCCUAUGGGUGUAAACUGCUUUUAUUUGGGAAAUAAACCUCUUUACGUGUAGAGAGCUGAAGGGUACCAAAUGAAUAAGCACCGGCUAACUCCGUGCCCAGCCAGCCCGCGGUAAAUACGGAGGGUGCAAGCGUUAUCCGAAUCAUUGGUUUAAAGGGGUCCCGCAGGCGGAUUUAUAAGUCAGUGGUGAAAUCCUAUCGCUUAACGAUAGAACUGCCAUUGAUACUGUAAGUCUUGAAUUCGGUCGGA